UACGAAGGGGGCUAGCGUUGCUCGGAAUUAUUGGGCGUAAAGGGUGCGUAGGCGGUUUGGUAAGUCUUGUGUGAAAUCUCCAGGCUCAACUUGGAGUCUGCACGAGAAACUGCCGGGCUUGAGUGUGGGAGAGGUGAGUGGAAUUCCUGGUGUAGCGGUGAAAUGCGUAGAUAUCCGGAAGAACACCAGUGGCGAAGGCGGCCCGCUGGGCAGUGGCUGACGCUGAGGCGCGACAGCGUGGGGAGCAAACAGG
Molecule: ribosomal RNA, 253 nt
Filed under: uncultured bacterium
Lineage: Bacteria
Description: partial 16S ribosomal RNA
Rfam family: Bacterial small subunit ribosomal RNA
Source: RNAcentral